This 301-nucleotide ribosomal RNA is filed under the name uncultured bacterium. RNAcentral describes it as "partial 16S ribosomal RNA". It matches the Rfam family "Bacterial small subunit ribosomal RNA", at positions 509 to 809 of the family's 1533-position model. The record is from RNAcentral.
CAGCAGCCACGGUAAUACGUAGGUGGCAAGCGUUGUCCGGAAUUAUUGGGCGUAAAGCGCGCGCAGGCGGAUAGGUCAGUCUGUCUUAAAAGUUCGGGGCUUAACCCCGUGAUGGGAUGGAAACUGCCAAUCUAGAGUAUCGGAGAGGAAAGUGGAAUUCCUAGUGUAGCGGUGAAAUGCGUAGAUAUUAGGAAGAACACCAAUGGCGAAGGCGACUUUCUGGACGAAAACUGACGCUGAGGCGCGAAAGCCAGGGGAGCAAACAGGAUUAGAUACCCCAGUAGUCCCUGUCUCUUAUACA